Molecule: transfer RNA, 87 nt
Filed under: Rubellimicrobium sp.
Lineage: Bacteria; Pseudomonadati; Pseudomonadota; Alphaproteobacteria; Rhodobacterales; Roseobacteraceae
Description: tRNA-Leu
Rfam family: tRNA
About the family: Transfer RNA (tRNA) molecules are approximately 80 nucleotides in length.
Source: RNAcentral
GCCCAGGUGGCGGAAUUGGUAGACGCGCUGGUUUCAGGUACCAGUGGCCUAACGGCUGUGGAGGUUCGAGUCCUCUCCUGGGCACCA